CCUACGGGAGGCUGCAGUGAGGAAUAUUGGUCAAUGGACGAGAGUCUGAUCCAGCCAAGUAGCGUGAAGGAUGACUGCCCUAUGUGUUGUAAACUUCUUUUAUAUGGGAAUAAAAUGUUCCACGUGUGGGAUGUUGUAUGUACCAUAUGCAUAAGGAUCGGCUAACUACGUGGCAGCAGCCGCGGUAAUACGGAGGAUCCGAGCGUUAUCCGGAUUUUUUGGGUUUAAAGGGAGCGUAGGUGGAUUGUUAAGUCAGUUGUGAAAGUUUGCGGCUCAACCGUAAAAUUGCAGUUGAAACUGGCAGUCUUGAGUACAGUAGAGGCAGGCGGAAUUCGUGGUGUAGCGGUGAAAUGCUUAGAUAUCACGAAGAACUCCGAUUGCGAAGGCAGCUCACUGGACUGCAACUGACACUGAGGCUCGAAAGUGUGGGUAGCAAACAGGAUUAGAUACCCCUGUAGUC
Molecule: ribosomal RNA, 460 nt
Filed under: uncultured bacterium
Lineage: Bacteria
Description: partial 16S ribosomal RNA
Rfam family: Bacterial small subunit ribosomal RNA
Source: RNAcentral